This 459-nucleotide ribosomal RNA is filed under the name uncultured bacterium. RNAcentral's name for it is "bacterial SSU rRNA". It matches the Rfam family "Bacterial small subunit ribosomal RNA", at positions 28 to 467 of the family's 1533-position model. The record is from RNAcentral.
GAUGAACGCUGGCGGCGUGCAUAACACAUUCAAGUCGAACGAAGCAUUUUCGACGGAGACUUCGGUCAAAGUUGAAUUUGACUUAGUGGCGGACGGGUGAGUAACGCGUGAGCAACCUGCCUUUCAAAGCGGGAUAACGUUUGGAAACGGACGCUAAUACCGCAUGAUGUAUACGAACCGCAUGAUUUGUAUACCAAAGAUUAAUCGAUGAAAGAUGGGCUCGCGUCUGAUUAGAUAGUUGGUGAGGUAACGGCUCACCAAGUCGACGAUCGGUAGCCGGACUGAGAGGUUGAACGGCCACAUUGGAACUGAGAUACGGUCCAGACUCCUACGGGAGGCAGCAGUGGGGAAUAUUGGGCAAUGGGCGCAAGCCUGACGGAGCAAUGCCGCGUGAGUGAAGAAGGCCUUGGGUUGUAAAACGUCUAGUCCUUAUUGAAGUAGAGGUAGCAGUGUGAAUAA